GGGGAAUAUUUGGACAAUGGGGGAAACCCUGAUCCAGCGACGCCGCGUGAGUGAAGAAGUAUUUCGGUAUGUAAAGCUCUAUCAGCAGGGAAGAAAAUGACGGUACCUGACUAAGAAGCCCCGGCUAACUAC
Molecule: ribosomal RNA, 132 nt
Filed under: uncultured bacterium
Lineage: Bacteria
Description: partial 16S ribosomal RNA
Rfam family: Bacterial small subunit ribosomal RNA
Source: RNAcentral